Molecule: ribosomal RNA, 470 nt
Filed under: uncultured bacterium
Lineage: Bacteria
Description: bacterial SSU rRNA
Rfam family: Bacterial small subunit ribosomal RNA
Source: RNAcentral
ACGCUGGCGGCGUGCCUAACACAUGCAAGUCGAGCGAGGAGAUUCCUUCGGGAUGAUCCUAGCGGCGGACGGGUGAGUAACACGUGGGCAACCUGCCUCAUAGAGAGGAAUAGCCUUCCGAAAGGGAGAUUAAUACCUCAUAACAUUGCAGUUUCGCAUGGAACAGCAAUUUAAAGGAGCAAUCCGCUAUGAGAUGGGCCCGCGGCGCAUUAGCUAGUUGGUGAGGUAACGGCUCACCAAGGCGACGAUGCGUAGCCGACCUGAGAGGGUGAUCGGCCACAUUGGGACUGAGACACGGCCCAGACUCCUACGGGAGGCAGCAGUGGGGAAUAUUGCACAAUGGGGGAAACCCUGAUGCAAGCAACGCCGCGUGAGUGAUGACGGCCUUCGGGUUGUAAAGCUCUGUCUUCAGGGACGAUAAUGACGGUACCUGAGGAGGAAGCCACGGCUAACUACGUGCCAGCAGCGGC